RNAcentral lists this ribosomal RNA (253 nucleotides) under uncultured bacterium. RNAcentral describes it as "partial 16S ribosomal RNA". It matches the Rfam family "Bacterial small subunit ribosomal RNA", at positions 524 to 776 of the family's 1533-position model. The record is from RNAcentral.
UACGGAGGGAGCAAGCGUUACUCGGAAUUAUUGGGCGUAAAGGGCGCGUAGGCGAUUUGAAAAGUCUUGUGUGAAAGCCCCGAGCUUAACUCGGGAAGUGCACAAGAAACUGUUGAAUUUGAGUUCCGGAGAGGAAGGCAGAAUUCCCGGUGUAGCGGUGAAAUGCGUAGAUAUCGGGAAGAACACCUAUGGCGAAGGCAGCUCUCUGGGACGGUACUGACGCUGAGACGCGAAAGCGUGGGGAGCGAACAGG